UCGCGUACUCUAGGGCAGCUAAACUUGA
RNAcentral lists this small RNA (28 nucleotides) under Bombyx mori (domestic silkworm). RNAcentral describes it as "ovarian small RNA-28792". The record is from RNAcentral. Lineage: Eukaryota; Metazoa; Arthropoda; Insecta; Lepidoptera; Bombycidae.